GACGAACGCUGGCGGCGUGCUUAACACAUGCAAGUCGAACGGAAAGGCCCUGCUUGCAGGGUGCUCGAGUGGCGAACGGGUGAGUAACACGUGGGUGAUCUGCCCCUUACUUUGGGAUAAGCCUGGGCAACUGGGUCUCAUACUGGAUAGGACCAUGCUGUAGGUGGUGUGGUGGAAAGAUUAGUUUCGGUAAGGGAUGAGCUCGCGGCCUAUCAGCUUGUUGGUGGGGUAAUGGCCUACCAAGGCGUCGACGGGUAGCCGGCCUGAGAGGGUGGACGGCCACAUUGGUACUCAGACACGGCCCAGACUCCUACGGGAGGCAGCAGUGGUGAAUAUUGCACAAUGGGCGCAAGCCUGAUGCAGCGACGCCGCGUGGGGGAUGACGGCCUUCGGGUUGUAAACUCCUUUCAGCCAUGACGAAGCCCUUGUGGUGACGGUAGUGGUAGAAGAAUCACCGGCUAACUACGUG
RNAcentral lists this ribosomal RNA (469 nucleotides) under uncultured bacterium. RNAcentral's name for it is "partial 16S ribosomal RNA". It matches the Rfam family "Bacterial small subunit ribosomal RNA", at positions 28 to 507 of the family's 1533-position model. The record is from RNAcentral.